Molecule: unclassified non-coding RNA, 285 nt
Filed under: Basidiomycota sp.
Lineage: Eukaryota; Fungi; Basidiomycota
Description: partial contains small subunit ribosomal RNA, internal transcribed spacer 1, and 5.8S ribosomal RNA
Rfam family: Eukaryotic small subunit ribosomal RNA (bases 1-47)
Source: RNAcentral
AAAGUCGUAACAAGGUUUCCGUAGGUGAACCUGCGGAAGGAUCAUUAACAAAUCUUUCACAAAACCUGUGUAACUGUCUGUUCCUGGAGUGGAGUGUGGGUGAGUUGUGUGAGAGCGCGCGGUAUGUGGGGAGUGCUGCUGCUCUGUUUGUGCGUUCAUUAUAUUGUGAACUACAUGCGCACAGUCACACACACACACACGCCAGGACAACUAACAUAACAAACUAUAGUCAGAGCAUCAUAUAUAUAACAUAUACAACUUUUAACAAUGGAUCUCUUGGCUCUU